This 275-nucleotide ribosomal RNA is filed under the name uncultured Planctomyces sp. RNAcentral's name for it is "partial 16S ribosomal RNA". It matches the Rfam family "Bacterial small subunit ribosomal RNA", at positions 338 to 609 of the family's 1533-position model. The record is from RNAcentral. Lineage: Bacteria; Pseudomonadati; Planctomycetota; Planctomycetia; Planctomycetales; Planctomycetaceae.
CCUACGGGGGGCUGCAGUCGAGAAUCUUCGUCAAUGGGCGAAAGCCUGAACGAGCGACGCCGCGUGCGGGAUGAAGGCCUUUGGGUUGUAAACCGCUGUCGAGGGGGAUGAAGGCAUUCAGGUACUCCUGAAUGUUUGACAGAGCCCUGGAGGAAGCACGGGCUAAGUUCGUGCCAGCAGCCGCGGUAAUACGAACUGUGCGAACGUUAUUCGGAAUCACUGGGCUUACAGGGUGCGUAGGCGGCUUUUCAAGUCAGGUGUGAAAGCCCCCGGCU